UGAAAGCAUCUAAGCGCCAAGCUCCUCCCAAGACAAGGUUUCCCCACCAGGCUCCUGGAAGACUACCAGGUUGAUAGGCCAGAGGUGUAAGCACAGUAAUGUGUUGAGCUGACUGGUACUAAUGUCCGAUCGGCUUAUCUUA
RNAcentral lists this ribosomal RNA (142 nucleotides) under Verrucomicrobiales bacterium. RNAcentral describes it as "partial 23S ribosomal RNA". It matches the Rfam family "Bacterial large subunit ribosomal RNA", at positions 2772 to 2925 of the family's 2925-position model. Lineage: Bacteria; Pseudomonadati; Verrucomicrobiota; Verrucomicrobiia; Verrucomicrobiales. The record is from RNAcentral.